AUUGAACGCUGGCGGCAUGCCUUACACAUGCAAAUCGAACGGUAACGGGCCUUCGGGUGCCGACGAGUGGCGAACGGGUGAGUAAUACAUCGGAACGUGCCCGAUCGUGGGGGAUAACGAGGCGAAAGCUUUGCUAAUACCGCAUACGAUCUACGGAUGAAAGCAGGGGACCGCAAGGCCUUGCGCGGACGGAGCGGCCGAUGGCAGAUUAGGUAGUUGGUGGGAUAAAAGCUUACCAAGCCGACGAUCUGUAGCUGGUCUGAGAGGAUGAUCAGCCACACUGGGACUGAGACACGGCCCAGACUCCUACGGGAGGCAGCAGUGGGGAAUUUUGGACAGUGGGCGCAAGCCUGAUCCAGCCAUGCCGCGUGCAGGAUGAAGGCCUUCGGGUUGUAAACUGAUUUUGUACGGAACGAAAAGCCUUCUUUUAAUACAGGAGGGUCAUGACGGUACCGUAAGAAUAAGCACCGGCUAACUACGUG
This 482-nucleotide ribosomal RNA is filed under the name uncultured bacterium. RNAcentral describes it as "partial 16S ribosomal RNA". It matches the Rfam family "Bacterial small subunit ribosomal RNA", at positions 30 to 507 of the family's 1533-position model. The record is from RNAcentral.